UACGAAGGGGGCUAGCGUUGCUCGGAAUUACUGGGCGUAAAGCGCACGUAGGCGGCUUUCUAAGUCGGGGGUGAAAUCCUGGAGCUCAACUCCAGAACUGCCUUCGAUACUGGAGGGCUUGAGUCCGGGAGAGGUGAGUGGAACUGCGAGUGUAGAGGUGAAAUUCGUAGAUAUUCGCAAGAACACCAGUGGCGAAGGCGGCUCACUGGCCCGGUACUGACGCUGAGGUGCGAAAGCGUGGGGAGCAAACAGG
Molecule: ribosomal RNA, 253 nt
Filed under: uncultured bacterium
Lineage: Bacteria
Description: partial 16S ribosomal RNA
Rfam family: Bacterial small subunit ribosomal RNA
Source: RNAcentral